UUUAAAAUACUAUUGGUAAAAGUACUUGGUCUACCACUAGGUGACAGUGUUUGACCACAAAGUGUUAUUGUGCUUGCCCUUAGUGGGAAACAAGAAAACUGCUUACUUGUUGGGUCCUACUGUGGAGUUUGUAUUGUUCUCCCACAGUCCAGAAACAUGUUCGUAAAGUCUGAUGGAAAUAAAUCAGCCUUCGGUGUGGUCUGGUAACCUGUGACAGCAGGGAAACAAUGUAAACUAUUUAAAAGCAAUGACAAACAAAAACCCAUUUAAUACACUUAGCUUUUCUAACGCAUUAUGUCUAAAUAUCUUAAUAUGAGUUCCACUAGCUCUCAAGAGACGGGAUUUAACAGAUGUCCGUGAACGCCGCAUGAACUCUCGGCGGUCCCUUUGAAGUGCAGUUUGUGGCUGGAGCUGAAGCUGCCCUCGGAGGUAACUAUUAGCUUAUGUCAAAAAAUGUUUAUGUAUAAUGAUAUUAUAAGUUUCAGGCUCUAAACAGGUAAUAGCCCCCUCUGGAAUAGUUUACCUACGAAAUUGACUUUUAAAACCUCAACUUUUAGUCUGUUCUUCUGAUAAUUCACCACGGGUUUUUUCCCCCUUCUUAACCUUGGAUAGGCUAAAGCCCACACCCCACACCCGCCGCCACCUUGAACUGGGAAAAAAAAUCAUGAUUGACUUUGAGGAGGCAGACUUCAUUUUGGAAACUCAGAAAAGAAAAAGAAAAAAAGACAAAAAACACAAAACCAACUUGACUGUGAAACCAGAAGAGAGCAUCCAGAAGAAAAGGAAAAAGAAAAACUCCCAGCUCAAAGAAGAAAAGCAGGAAAGGAAACAAAAGAAAAAGGAAAAGAAGAAAGAAAAGCAAAGAAGGAGACUGGCUUUAGAGCUAGACAGCAGUGUUGUAUUUAAACAGUGCAGUAGUGCCCAGGAAAAACUUUUUGAGAAGCCUGAAGCAUCAAAGCCACAACAAAAUGAAAAGCUGAAGCCUGAUCGUCUGACUCAAGACUCCAAAAAGAAAUGCAAAAGAAAAAAAAAAGUGGUGUUUGAUGUGUCACCCUGUUACAUCCGUGUCAAACGGCCUAAAUUUGCAUCAUCAUCCACGAAAGAGGAGCAGGCUGUGAAAGGCGCUGAGAGCUGUUCACAGGACGCAGUGACGGGGAACAGCCAGAGUCACGAUCAGGACUCUCAGGGCACCAGUGAUGACAUCAACAGCCAGGACUUGUUUAUUACCCAGAAGACUUUCAGAACAUCGCUCUCCGAACCCUCCAGCGGGGAAGUCAGUGACGGAGCUCUUAUGCUAUCUCCUCAGUUGCGAACACAGCAAGGCGAGUGCCAACAGCUUAAACUAUUUCAUGAAGAAUCAGAAAAAUGGCCACAUGACUCACAGCCUCAUCAGUGCUUUGUGCAGCCAAACCCAGAAGAACCUGAAGAAGGUAAAGGAUAUCAUAAGAUACAUGAGCAGAGAAAAAGAUCCUUCCUGAAACAAGAAAAUAGAAACUUAUCUGAAGAGCAAAGAGUCUCACGUUCAGUGCAUUUAAAGAUCGGUGUGGGGCAUCCUUUCCUGGAGGAGCCAAUCAUUGUAAACUCCUCCCUGGAUCUUGGAGAGAGCAACACCUGCCCUCCAAAUCAGCGUUCCCCUUCAUGCCUGCCACAUGUUAAUAAGUCACUGCUUCCUGCCAGGUCCACAGUGAGCUCUUCCACACAGACAGAAAACUUCUUCACCACUGAGCUCUCCUCCUACCUCAGCUUCUGCCAGAAAAGUAGACCAGCUGUUUGUUUCGAUGACAUGAAACCUUUAGACCUGAGCCUUCCACACAGGGUGAGAAAAGACCGCGGGAGCUGUUUGUCAGUAAUGGAGGUCAACCAUGAAGGAGAAGGAGGCAUGGGUCCAUCUGGGUCUUCACUUGUGAAAGAAAAUCAGGUGCUUUUGGGUCGAGGAGAAACAACUCCCAGUCCGCAGUUGUCAGAAUCUGAUCAAAAGUCUGCUGAUACAACGACGUCCAGCGAGGACAGCGAGCAGCCGUGCCGCGCUGGCAAGCUGGACCUGAUUCAGGUCAGAGCAGUCCAGAUGAAACUCAACGAAUCCUUCUUUUUCAAGCCCAAAGGAGAGGGACGGUCGCCCAGGCCAGAGUCACCGCUGAUGAAACUCUCUCAGGGCAGAGACACUAAAAGGAGGAAGAGCCGCUGA
Oreochromis niloticus (Nile tilapia) is the source of this 2185-nucleotide long non-coding RNA. Lineage: Eukaryota; Metazoa; Chordata; Actinopteri; Cichliformes; Cichlidae. The record is from Ensembl.